ACUUGGGGAUAACCUUGCGAAAGUAAGACUAAUACCCAAUGACGUCUCUAGAAGACAUCUGAAAGGGAUUAAAGNUUUAUCGGUGAUGGAUGGGGAUGCGUCUGAUUAGCUUGUUGCGGGGUAACGGCCCACCAAGGCUACGAUCAGUAGGGGUUCUGAGAGGAAGGUCCCCCACAUUGGAACUGAGAUACGGUCCAAACUCCUACGGGAGGCAGCAGUGAGGAAUAUUCGGUCAAUGGGCGAGAGCCUGAACCAGCCAAGUAGCGUGCAGGAUGACGGCCCUAUGGGUUGUAAACUGCUUUUAUAAGGGAAUAAAGUGAGCCUCGUGAGGCUUUUGCAUGUACCUUAUGAAUAAGGACCGGCUAAUUCCGUG
This 373-nucleotide ribosomal RNA is filed under the name uncultured bacterium. RNAcentral describes it as "bacterial SSU rRNA". It matches the Rfam family "Bacterial small subunit ribosomal RNA", at positions 135 to 507 of the family's 1533-position model. The record is from RNAcentral.